This 1848-nucleotide long non-coding RNA is filed under the name Oryctolagus cuniculus (rabbit). RNAcentral describes it as "lncRNA (ENSOCUG00000038095.1)". The record is from RNAcentral. Lineage: Eukaryota; Metazoa; Chordata; Mammalia; Lagomorpha; Leporidae.
AUCUUGGAGUCAGUCUUCCAAUGGAUGAUCAUGGUGACCUGGGGGCAGCCAGAGUAGCCAUGGGGACCUGUCCUUGGGGCAGCGAGGACGAGGGACAUCAACACCUCUUCUGUAAGGGCGAGGAUUCUGAAGCUGGGUGUCGGAGUCCAUUUCCCGGUGGUGAUCUGGGGGCAGCCAGAGAAGCCACGGCGUCCUGUCCUUGGGGCAGCGAGCAUGAGGGACAUUCAACACCUGUUUGGAAAGGGCGAGGAUUCUGUAGCUGGCCAUCUCGGAGUCCAUCUUCCUGUGGACGGAUGAUCCUGUUGACCUGGGGGCAGCCAGAGAAGACAUGGGGUCCUGGCUGUGGGGUAGCAAGGACGAGGGACAUUCAACCCCUUUUCUGGAAGGGCGAGGAUUCUGAAACUGGGCAUCUUGGAAUCAGUCUUCCAAUGGAUGAUCAUGAUGACCUGGGGCAGCCAGAGUAGCCAUGGGGACCUGUCCUUGGGGCAGCGAGGACCAGGGCCUUUCAACACCUCUUCUGGAAGGUUAGCAUUCUCAAGCUGGGCAUCUUGGAGUCCACCUUCCUGUGGACGAUCGUGGUGACCUGGGGGCAGCCAGAGAAGCCAUGAUGUCCUGUCAUUGGGGCAGCGAGGACGAAGGACACUAUACGCUUGAUGACCCCAGAGGCAAGGAUUCUGAAGCUGCAAGUCUUGGAGUCUGUCUUCCCGUGGAAGAUCGUGGAGACGUGGGUCACCAGAGACAUAGCUCUGCUGCAGCAUCUGCUGUGUAGACCCUUUGGUGGCCCCAGGACCCUCUUUCACUUCAGAGGUCAGAGGGACAAGCUGACAAGGGGAGAACACGGCCCUGUCAUGCCAUGGCCUGGUCCCUGGUUCCUGUCCCUUUGAGACCCCAGGGCACUUUGGUGAAGAAGCCCACAGACCAGCAGGGAGGUGGCAGGUGCCUCGUCCAAGCCAGAGGAGAUGCCCACCCUGGGGCUCGGUCCCCCGAGGACAGACAUGGGGAGGCAGUGCUGGCAGCACAGAGCUGUAGUGAUGCCAGCGCACCUGCCAGGCCCCAGCACAGCCCCGGCUGCUGGCCUGGUCUACAGCUCAUGGGCAGGGACCUCCAAGCCCGGCCGCCACAGAGGGGUCCCCUCUCUCACGUGCUCACCCCCCAUCGCGCACCAUGCAGGACCUUGCAUGCAAGACUCAUGGGGCCACUGUGGCCCUCAGAGACACCCAUCUCCCAGGGGGGCACAUUGAGGCUCCGAGGCCUGAAGGGCCCGACUCGAAGGUCAGGGCUCUCAGGAGGGACGGGAUCCGGACGUCUGAGUCUCAGAGGAGCAGAUGCACUCACCUCCAUCCAGGGGCCUCCGGCACAGGAGCCAUGGCCUGCAGGAAGGACAGAAACGCCCAGGACACGGUCCUCCUGCACCUGGCAGCCCCACCUCCACCUGCCCAGGGUCUGCGCUACCUUGUCCAGACAGCCCCUGUCCCACCUGACAGCCUUCUCAGCUCGGGCCCCAGGAGCCGCCAUGACACCUCCUGCCCCGCUCUGCUGAGGGACGCGGGAGCCACUGGGGACACAGAGGGCUGGGGGACCGGCAGUCAGUCCCCGCCCCAUGAAGUCCCCAUCCAGGAUGUGAUUCUGGCCUCGGGAUUCUGCUCCCUCUCCCGGGGCUCCCAGGGAGGGAGACGAGUGGUGCACAAAUGAAAAUGAAACAACAGAAAUCAAAUUAACAAAAAUCAGAAACCAAAAAUGAACAAACUCACUCUGCUCCCAUCACCAACAGAAAACAUGACCUGUAUCAACUACACCAGACCAACCACGGAGACUGCUCUGUGGAAUAAAAUGUUAAAUGUGAAAACA